CCUACGGGGGGCAGCAGUGGGGAAUAUUGCACAAUGGGCGAAAGCCUGAUGCAGCGACGCCGCGUGAGGGAUGGAGGCCUUCGGGUUGUAAACCUCUUUCGCUCAUGGUCAAGCCGCAACAUUGGUUGUGGUGAGGGUAGUGGGUAAAGAAGCGCCGGCUAACUACGUGCCAGCAGCCGCGGUAAUACGUAGGGCGCGAGCGUUGUCCGGAAUUAUUGGGCGUAAAGGGCUUGUAGGCGGUUGGUCGCGUCUGCCGUGAAAUCCUCUGGCUUAACUGGGGGCGUGCGGUGGGUACGGGCUGACUUGAGUGCGGUAGGGGAGACUGGAACUCCUGGUGUAGCGGUGGAAUGCGCAGAUAUCAGGAAGAACACCGGUGGCGAAGGCGGGUCUCUGGGCCGUUACUGACGCUGAGGAGCGAAAGCGUGGGGAGCGAACAGGAU
This 440-nucleotide ribosomal RNA is filed under the name uncultured bacterium. RNAcentral describes it as "bacterial SSU rRNA". It matches the Rfam family "Bacterial small subunit ribosomal RNA", at positions 338 to 778 of the family's 1533-position model. The record is from RNAcentral.